RNAcentral lists this unclassified non-coding RNA (345 nucleotides) under soil metagenome. Its description in RNAcentral is "partial contains 5.8S ribosomal RNA, internal transcribed spacer 2, and large subunit ribosomal RNA". The stretch from base 1 to 120 matches the Rfam family "5.8S ribosomal RNA", at positions 35 to 154 of the family's 154-position model. The record is from RNAcentral.
GAUGAAGAACGUAGCGAAAUGCGAUACGUAAUGUGAAUUGCAGAAUUCAGUGAAUCUUCGAGUCUUUGAACGCACAUUGCGCCCCCUGGUAUUCCGGGGGGCAUGCCUGUCCGAGCGUCAUUGCUGCCCUCAAGCACGGCUUGUGUGUUGGGCCUCCGUCCUCCUCCCGGGGGACGGGCCCGAAAGGCAGCGGCGGCACCGCGUCCGGUCCUCGAGCGUAUGGGGCUUCGUCACCCGCUCUUGUAGGCCCGGCCGGCGCUUGCCGACACAUCAAUCUUUUUUCCAGGUUGACCUCGGAUCAGGUAGGGAUACCCGCUGAACUUAAGCAUAUCAAUAAGCGGAGGA